UACGUAGGGCGCAAGCGUUAUCCGGAAUUAUUGGGCGUAAAGAGCUCGUAGGCGGUUUGUUGCGUCGGCUGUGAAAUCCCGAGGCUCAACCUCGGGUCUGCAGUCGAUACGAGCAAACUAGAGUGUUGCAGGGGAGACUGGAAUUCCUGGUGUAGCGGUGAAAUGCGCAGAUAUCAGGAGGAACACCGGUGGCGAAGGCGGGUCUCUGGGCAGCAACUGACGCUGAGGAGCGAAAGCGUGGGGAGCGAACAGG
RNAcentral lists this ribosomal RNA (253 nucleotides) under uncultured bacterium. Its description in RNAcentral is "partial 16S ribosomal RNA". It matches the Rfam family "Bacterial small subunit ribosomal RNA", at positions 524 to 776 of the family's 1533-position model. The record is from RNAcentral.